CGAAAACUUUGCAAUACACGAAAGUGUGACAGGGCUAUCCCGAGUGCCAUCCGCUGAGGAAGGCUUUUACCCAGUCUAGAACGCUGGGGGAAUAAGGAGAGGGCAAGUCUGGUGUCAGCCGCCGCGGUAAUACCAGCUCUCCGAGUGGUGUGGAUGUUUAUUGGGCCUAAAGCAUCCGUAGCUGGCUAAGUUAGUCCCUUGUUAAAUCCACCGAAUUAAUCGUUGGAUUGCGGGGGAUACUGCUUGGCUAGGGGACGAGAGAGGCAGACGGUAUUUCCGGGGUAGGGGUGAAAUCCUAUAAUCCCGGGAAGACCACCAGUGGCGAAGGCUGUCUGCUAGAACGCGCCCGACGGUGAGGGAUGAAAGCUGGGGGAGCGAACCGGAUUAGA
RNAcentral lists this ribosomal RNA (389 nucleotides) under uncultured archaeon. Its description in RNAcentral is "bacterial SSU rRNA". It matches the Rfam family "Archaeal small subunit ribosomal RNA", at positions 342 to 733 of the family's 1478-position model. The record is from RNAcentral.